RNAcentral lists this ribosomal RNA (253 nucleotides) under uncultured bacterium. RNAcentral's name for it is "partial 16S ribosomal RNA". It matches the Rfam family "Bacterial small subunit ribosomal RNA", at positions 524 to 776 of the family's 1533-position model. The record is from RNAcentral.
UACGGGGGGGGCAAGCGUUGUUCGGAAUUACUGGGCGUAAAGGGCUCGUAGGCGGCCAACUAAGUCAGACGUGAAAUCCCCAGGCUUAACCUGGGAACUGCGUCUGAUACUGGAUGGCUUGAAUUCGGGAGAGGGAUGCAGAAUUCCAGGUGUAGCGGUGAAAUGCGUAGAUAUCUGGAGGAACACCGGUGGCGAAGGCGGCAUCCUGGACCAAUAUUGACGCUGAGGAGCGAAAGCCAGGGGAGCAAACGGG